RNAcentral lists this long non-coding RNA (585 nucleotides) under Pan troglodytes (chimpanzee). RNAcentral describes it as "long non-coding RNA NONPTRT001665". Lineage: Eukaryota; Metazoa; Chordata; Mammalia; Primates; Hominidae. The record is from RNAcentral.
UAGAGAGGCAGCUUAACAACUGCCUAACAAUGACCUGAUGGUCACCUGGCAUUUCUGGUGGAGGGUUGCCUUCUCCUGCCCUGUUAAUAUCUGACUAGCGACCUACUGUGACAAUCCCAACCAAAUCGUGGAAAUGCUAUACAAUUUGUGGAGGGAAGGGAGUGAGGAUGGAAGGCUAAAUGAAUUUGAAGGCGGUAACCACAGCAUGUGCAACAUACAUUGGAUGUAGACAAGGCUGGAAAGGAAAUCGAUGCCAUAUCAAGUUUAAUCCUCCUACUACAGACUUCACAUACACUCAGAAUAAUACAUGGACUCUCCUGGGUAUUGGAUUAGCAUUCCUGAUGACUCACAUCACAGUUGCAGUCUUGGGUUUUCUUGCAAACAGAAAGAGUUCUGUCUAUUCCUUCUCAAACCCGUUAUAUGGCACAACAUCAGGAAGCCUGGAGACCCUGUCACAUCAUCUCAAACAGCAGCAUCGAGACCAAGUCUGAUCCAACAUGUGUAGUUUCUAGAAAAUUGAAGUCUCCACAAUCUGAUAGAAACUCAUCUUCUACAAUGGUAAAAAGAGAAAGGAUUGUAAAUGCG